Molecule: ribosomal RNA, 503 nt
Filed under: uncultured bacterium
Lineage: Bacteria
Description: partial 16S ribosomal RNA
Rfam family: Bacterial small subunit ribosomal RNA
Source: RNAcentral
AUUGAACGCUGGCGGCAGGCUUAACACAUGCAAGUCGAGCGGGGUGAUGGUGCUUGCACUAUCACUUAGCGGCGGACGGGUGAGUAAUGCUUAGGAAUCUGCCUAUUAGUGGGGGACAACGUCUCGAAAGGGAUGCUAAUACCGCAUACGUCCUACGGGAGAAAGCAGGGGAUCACUUGUGACCUUGCGCUAAUAGAUGAGCCUAAGUCGGAUUAGCUAGUUGGUGGGGUAAAGGCCUACCAAGGCGACGAUCUGUAGCGGGUCUGAGAGGAUGAGCCGCCACACUGGGACUGAGACACGGCCCAGACCCCUACGGGAGACAGCAGUGGGGAAUAUUGGACAAUGGGGGGAACCCUGAUCCAGCCAUGCUGCGUGUGUGAAGAAGGCCUUAUGGUUGUAAAGCACUUUAAGCGAGGAGGAGGCUCUUUUGGUUAAUACCCAAGAUGAGUGGACGUUACUCGCAGAAUAAGCACCGGCUAACUCUGUGCCAGCCGCCGCAGUAA